Molecule: ribosomal RNA, 495 nt
Filed under: uncultured bacterium
Lineage: Bacteria
Description: partial 16S ribosomal RNA
Rfam family: Bacterial small subunit ribosomal RNA
Source: RNAcentral
GAUAAACGCUAGCGGGAGGCCUAACACAUGCAAGCCGAGCGGUAUUGUUUCUUCGGAAAUGAGAGAGCGGCGUACGGGUGCGUAACACGUGUGCAACCUGCCUUUAUCUGGGGGAUAGCCUUUCGAAAGGAAGAUUAAUACUCCAUAAUAUAUUGAACGGCAUCGUUUAAUAUUGAAAGCUCCGGCGGAUAGAGAUGGGCACGCGCAAGAUUAGCUAGUUGGUGAGGUAACGGCUCACCAAGCCGAUGAUCUUUAGGGGGACUGAGAGGGUGAUCCCCCACACUGGUACUGAGACACGUACCAGACGCCUACGGGAGGCAGCAGUGAGGAAUAUUGGUCAAUGGGUGCAAGCCUGAACCAGCCAUCCCGCGUGAAGGACGACUGCCCUAUGGGUUGUAAACUUCUUUUGUAUAGGGAUAAACCUACCCUCGUGAGGGUAGCUGAAGGUACUAUACGAAUAAGCACCGGCUAACUCCGUGCCAGCCGCCGCAGUAA